CUACGGGAUGCUACAGUAGGGAAUUUUGCGCAAUGGACGAAAGUCUGACGCAGCGACACCGUGUGAAGGAUGAAGGUCUUCGGAUCGUAAACUUCUGUCAAUUAGAGACGAAGGCAGUAAGGUUAAUAGUCUUGCUGUUGACGGUACCUAAUUAGGAAGUCUCGGCUAACUCCGUGCCAGCAGCCGCGGUAAGACGGAGGAGGCAAGCGUUGUCCGGAAUUAUUGGGCGUAAAGAGCGCGUAGGCGGUUUCUCAAGUCAUAUGUGAAAACUUCAGGCUUAACUUGAAGAUUGCAUAUGAAACUGGGAGACUUGAGUACAGUAGAGGAAAGUGGAAUUCCUGGUGUAGCGGUGAAAUGCGCAGAUAUCAGGAAGAACACCAGUUGCGAAGGCGGCUUUCUGGGCUGUUACUGACGCUGAGGCGCGAAAGCUAGGGGAGCGAACAGGAUUAGAUACCCGAGUAGUC
RNAcentral lists this ribosomal RNA (464 nucleotides) under uncultured bacterium. RNAcentral describes it as "partial 16S ribosomal RNA". It matches the Rfam family "Bacterial small subunit ribosomal RNA", at positions 339 to 795 of the family's 1533-position model. The record is from RNAcentral.